This 623-nucleotide ribosomal RNA is filed under the name uncultured eukaryote. RNAcentral describes it as "eukaryotic LSU rRNA". The stretch from base 189 to 338 matches the Rfam family "5.8S ribosomal RNA". The record is from RNAcentral.
UAAAAGUCGUAACAAGGUAACCGUAGGUGAACCUGCGGUUGGAUCAUUGCUAAUGAUACUGAGUGCAGUUGAGGUGCAAACCUCCUGCCUCACCAACACAUUGUGCACUGAAAUGUAUUUCGGGUCUCUGGCCCGGCAUUAACAAACCCCUUUUAAUUUGACUGAGAGUUUUAUUGUAAAAAGUAAACAACUUUAGACAACGGAUCUCUUGGCUCUCGCAACGAUGAAGAACGCAGCGAAAUGCGAUACGUAAUGUGAAUUGCAGAAUUCCGUGAAUCAUCGAAUCUUUGAACGCAUAUUGCACUCUGUUUCGGCAGAGUAUGCCUGUUUGAGAAUCUAUAGUAUUUAUUCCCCGGUAUUUCGGUACUGGUGAGAUCUGAGGUGUCUUUCUAACCAAAGUGCCUUUAAAGCUAUAGCCGACGGUGAACCAAAGUGUCUGACGCUUUGCAAGUCUCCCGAAAAGUAUUUGAAUGAACUUUUGUUCUUGGAAUGCCGAUUAGAGAGACGCAAGGAAUAGCUUUGCGGAUCAGCCGGUCCAUAACCUAUAGACGCAAGUCUGAACCAUGGUCUCAAAUCAGGUAGGAAUACCCGCUGAACUUAAGCAUAUCAAUAAGCGGAGGAAA